RNAcentral lists this ribosomal RNA (1504 nucleotides) under uncultured bacterium. RNAcentral describes it as "partial 16S ribosomal RNA". It matches the Rfam family "Bacterial small subunit ribosomal RNA". The record is from RNAcentral.
UAGAGUUUGAUCAUGGCUCAGGAUGAACGCUAGCGACAGGCCUAACACAUGCAAGUCGAGGGGCAUCGGGGCGAGGAGCAAUCCUUGCCGCCGGCGACCGGCGCACGGGUGAGUAACGCGUAUGCGACCUGCCCGUUGCAGGGGGAUAAUCGGGAGAAAUCCCGUCUAAUACCGCGUAAUGCCGCGGGGCUGCAUGGCCCUGCGGCCAAAGGGAGCGAUUCCGGCAACGGAUGGGCAUGCGUGACAUUAGCUAGUUGGCGGGGCAACGGCCCACCAAGGCGACGAUGUCUAGGGGUUCUGAGAGGAAGGUCCCCCACACUGGUACUGAGACACGGACCAGACUCCUACGGGAGGCAGCAGUGAGGAAUAUUGGUCAAUGGGCGCGAGCCUGAACCAGCCAAGUCGCGUGAGGGAUGACGGCCCUACGGGUUGUAAACCUCUUUUGUCGGGGAGCAAAUUCCGCCACGUGUGGCGGAGUCGAGAGUACCCGAAGAAAAAGCAUCGGCUAACUCCGUGCCAGCAGCCGCGGUAAUACGGAGGAUGCGAGCGUUAUCCGGAUUUAUUGGGUUUAAAGGGUGCGUAGGCGGACUGUCAAGUCAGCGGUAAAAUACGGGGGCUCAACCUCCGCCCGCCGUUGAAACUGACGGUCUUGAGUGGGCGAGAAGUAUGCGGAAUGCGUGGUGUAGCGGUGAAAUGCAUAGAUAUCACGCAGAACUCCGAUUGCGAAGGCAGCAUACCGGCGCCCAACUGACGCUGAAGCACGAAAGCGUGGGUAUCGAACAGGAUUAGAUACCCUGGUAGUCCACGCAGUAAACGAUGAAUACUAGCUGUCCGGGGCGAAUGAGCCCUGGGUGGCACAGCGAAAGCGUUAAGUAUUCCACCUGGGGAGUACGCCGGCAACGGUGAAACUCAAAGGAAUUGACGGGGGCCCGCACAAGCGGAGGAACAUGUGGUUUAAUUCGAUGAUACGCGAGGAACCUUACCCGGGCUCAAACGACACAGGAACGUACCUGAAAGGGUUCGGCUCUACGGAGCCUGUGUCGAGGUGCUGCAUGGUUGUCGUCAGCUCGUGCCGUGAGGUGUCGGCUUAAGUGCCAUAACGAGCGCAACCCCCAUCGACAGUUGCUAACAGGUCAGGCUGAGGACUCUGUCGAGACUGCCGGCGCAAGCUGCGAGGAAGGCGGGGAUGACGUCAAAUCAGCACGGCCCUUACGUCCGGGGCGACACACGUGUUACAAUGGCAGGUACAGCGGGAAGCCACCUGGCGACAGGGAGCGGAACCCGAAAGCCUGUCUCAGUUCGGAUUGGAGUCUGCAACCCGACUCCAUGAAGCUGGAUUCGCUAGUAAUCGCGCAUCAGCCACGGCGCGGUGAAUACGUUCCCGGGCCUUGUACACACCGCCCGUCAAGCCAUGGAAGCCGGGAGUGCCUGAAGUGUGCAACCGCAAGGAGCGCCCUAAGGUAAAACUGGUGACUGGGGCUAAGUCGUAACAAGGUAGCCGUAA